Gossypium hirsutum (cotton) is the source of this 146-nucleotide non-coding RNA. Lineage: Eukaryota; Viridiplantae; Streptophyta; Magnoliopsida; Malvales; Malvaceae. The record is from Rfam.
UGUUGGAAAAUUUUAUCCAUUUCUACCGUUAAAAAUUGGCAUGGUUGACAAAAUAACCAAACAGUGACUCGUGACGUACCAUGUGUAGCUCAUGUUGACGUACAUGAACUAAUUUUUAACAGUAGAAAUAAAUAAAAUUUUUAAUA